Molecule: ribosomal RNA, 654 nt
Filed under: uncultured bacterium
Lineage: Bacteria
Description: bacterial SSU rRNA
Rfam family: Bacterial small subunit ribosomal RNA
Source: RNAcentral
GGGGAUAACUACUGGAAACGGUAGCUAAUACCGCAUAACGUCGCAAGACCAAAGAGGGGGACCUUCAGGCCUCUUGCCAUCGGAUGUGCCCAGAUGGGAUUAGCUUGUUGGUGGGGUAACGGCUCACCAAGGCGACGAUCCCUAGCUGGUCUGAGAGGAUGACCAGCCACACUGGAACUGAGACACGGUCCAGACUCCUACGGGAGGCAGCAGUGGGGAAUAUUGCACAAUGGGCGCAAGCCUGAUGCAGCCAUGCCGCGUGUAUGAAGAAGGCCUUCGGGUUGUAAAGUACUUUCAGCGGGGAGGAAGGGAGUAAAGUUAAUACCUUUGCUCAUUGACGUUACCCGCAGAAGAAGCACCGGCUAACUCCGUGCCAGCAGCCGCGGUAAUACGGAGGGUGCAAGCGUUAAUCGGAAUUACUGGGCGUAAAGCGCACGCAGGCGGUUUGUUAAGUCAGAUGUGAAAUCCCCGGGCUCAACCUGGGAACUGCAUCUGAUACUGGCAAACUUGAGUCUCGUAGAGGGGGGUAGAAUUCCAGGUGUAGCGGUGAAAUGCGUAGAGAUCUGGAGGAAUACCGGUGGCGAAGGCGGCCCCCUGGACGAAGACUGACGCUCAGGUGCGAAAGCGUGGGGAGCAAACAGGAUUAGAUACCCU